CUGGCGGCGUGCCUAAUACAUGCAAGUCGAACGGCUUUUCUAUGGAAGCUUGCUUCCACUGAGAAGAUAGUGGCGAACGGGUGAGUAACACGUGGGUAACCUGCCCAUAAGAGGGGGGAUAACAUCCGGAAACGGGUGCUAAUACCGCAUAGUUUUCUUGAUCGCAUGAUCGGGAAAGGAAAGACGGCCUUUGUGCUGUCGCUUAUGGAUGGACCCGCGGCGUAUUAGUUAGUUGGUGAGGUAACGGCUCACCAAGACGAUGAUACGUAGCCGACCUGAGAGGGUGAUCGGCCACAUUGGGACUGAGACACGGCCCAAACUCCUACGGGAGGCAGCAGUAGGGAAUCUUCCGCAAUGGACGAAAGUCUGACGGAGCAACGCCGCGUGAGUGAAAGAAGGUUUUCGGAUCGUAAAACUCUGUUGCCAGAGAAGAACAAGUUGGAGAGUAACUGCUCCAGCCUUGACGGUAUCUGACCAGAAAGCCACGGCUAACUACGUGCCAGCCGCGGC
This 510-nucleotide ribosomal RNA is filed under the name uncultured bacterium. RNAcentral describes it as "bacterial SSU rRNA". It matches the Rfam family "Bacterial small subunit ribosomal RNA", at positions 36 to 518 of the family's 1533-position model. The record is from RNAcentral.